This 218-nucleotide unclassified non-coding RNA is filed under the name Hevea brasiliensis (rubber tree). Lineage: Eukaryota; Viridiplantae; Streptophyta; Magnoliopsida; Malpighiales; Euphorbiaceae. The record is from RNAcentral.
UGCCAUCAGCCCAUUUGGAGAUGGAGUAAUGGACCCUCUCACGGGAAAGGGCUUCAGCUUUGUAAGGUUCCUUCAGGCAAUUCCUAACAAGAUUAGCACAGAGAUUUGAAUAGGUUAUGUAAGUCAUCCCUGCUGAUCUCCAGAAUGGUGCUGCUGCGUUCGAUGCCAUUUUCUUCUCCGCCGCUCUCGAUCCUUCUUCCUCCUCUUCUACUUUGAAA